UGGUAGAGGGUUCUACACGACUAGAGCUUUUGGUUUUAUCCUGGAGGUCACAGAGUAGAUUAAGAUGAUAUUUUCAGAUCAUUAUAUUAGAUGUCCUCCCAGCAGAGAAAACAAAGCAGCACACUUCUUAAGAAAGUAUUGGAAGAUUCCACCUACAGCGAUCUGGAAACCUGUGUGCAAAUGUAUAAAUUAAUUAGUAACAUAAAGAAGAAUGACUACAAAUGUAGAAAAUAUAGCUAUCGGUUUAAAUGUGUACCUUAAUCAUAAGCAUAUAAGGAAAAUUCUCAAAACCCAAGAUAAAAAGAAGUAAUUAAAUAUGAGAGCGGAAAAUAUGAGCAGACACUGAGAUUGCUGCAUGGGAGGGAGAAAAAGAUAGGGUGUGAAUAGUGGUGCAGGGUCUGAAGAAGAGGCCUCGGCCCAUACAUUUAGAAUAGAACCUGGGACAUUUGUAUAAAACCAGAUCCAAAAGGAGAGGAAUGACAAUAAAUCCACCCACUAGCCAGAAUCUCCUCUGUCUUAACCUGUGCUUUAGGUGGAGCGAGGGAUAGAGAGAGAAUAGGGGUUGAGUCCUCUGUGAACAUAGGGGCUGCUCUUGGUAAACUCCCAAGCUAAGUGGUCAUUAUAAAAAGUGGUCCCACUUGUUAUCACCUCCAGGGGAAGUAAAUGGAGACUCUACAAUUGGAGCUUUUAAAGGAUUGCUAUAGAUAAAAACCAAUGUAAGUACACUCACAAUCUAAAAAUAUAAAUCACAGUAAGAGGGAGUGUCUUCAGACCCAUGAAGCAGCAGAGCCAGAACCUAGAGAAGUUUAGCUAACAGAAGUUUUUUACUGGAUAGAGAUGGGGAAAAAAACCACAAUAUUUACAGGAAUUGGCACAUUCUAGAAGACAAUUAUAAACUUACAUGUAGAAUCACAGUGAUUUUCCUUUUUUAAUGAUCAUACCUCUUUAUUUUGGUAGGGGAAGGAAGUGUGGAGAGUAAAUAACUUUCCCACAGCAAUGCCAACUUUUAAAUAGAAUAGAGCAAGUAGAAUUCAGUUUGACCCUACAGUUUUAGGGCUGUCAUAUAAAGAAAUGUGGGAAGGAGGAAUUUGCUGACUCAUUGGUUGUACCAGAAAAAAAGAGUAUCAAAUAUCAAUAACCACAACAAACUGGGUAGGAGAUUGAGGUUCGCGGAAGUGCUGUUUAUGGAAGGAGGGAAGUGAUGUCAGAGAAAAUUAUGGUGUGAUUUCCGUACCCAAAGCAUUCUUGACUUUUAUCUACUGAACUGACAUUUACUAAGCAACUAUCACAGGCAAAACAAGGUUAGGCAGAGUCAUAGAUACAGAGAUAACGGAGUGAGUCAUGGUCUGUCAUUUAAGAAAUAAUGCAGUUUAACUAAUACUGCAGUUUCAGUAGAGAAAUAACUGAGUUAACCAAAGAAAACAGAAAACAUGUCACAACAUAGGGCGGGGAUAUAGCUAGUUAGACUUUUAUCCCAACAGAACAUUGGGACUGUCAUUAGGACAGCUCUCACCAAGACCAGAGGCAAGACCACUCUUCAUUUAAAGAUGGUACAAGAGAUCUGGGUUUCUUAAAUUGGACUUGCUCAUCCUUCCCACCCUGAAAUUAUAGAAAAGAUGACUUUCAGCACUGUUUAUGAAAGGACUCAUAUAUUUAAAACAAACAGGCAAAAUAUCAAUCCACCAGCUAACCUCAGGUUGAAACUUACUGACAGUCUGUAAAACUAGUAAUUAUUGUCACUUAAAAUUUUUCUGUGUCUUAUUUCUACCAGAUGGGUGAAGGAUUGCUUUAGAAAUGAAUUUUUUUUUUAAAUUGAAACAUUUAAUAACAUGGUUGAUCGCCAUCUCUUCACCUAUAGGUGCUUUGAUGAGGACACUAACAUCAGAAGCAAUAUUGCAAAGUCAUAAUAUGACCCUUUGGGCAGGUCAAUAUGGUGCUUGGGGGAUAAUCACUGUCAAGAGGUCAGAUUGAUACAUGGUUUCUAGUACAGUUGCUUGAGCAACAACUCCCAUUUAUAGGUUAUUAUAUACCCUCAUUUAUGGGGCUUUAUUAUGGAAGAGAAAUUUGGGGGGAAGGACAUGUUCUAGGGAAAACAACAAGUAACAACCAAACCUGGGAGUAUUUGAGCCAUUUCUGCUAGGAAUGUGAAUAAAGAACCUCAAAUCUAGGGUGCUGGAUGAACAAGAAAAUAGACACACACACACACACACACACACAUUUAUAUAUAUAUAGUGAGAAUUGAAAUUGCCAGCCUGCAUUUAGAAGGAGCACACUUUCCUAACCCAAAUUUUAGAACUCCAUAGGUGGAGAUGUCAGGACGGCAGAGAGCAUUGGUUGGCUUUUAUCUCCAUUCAGGUCUCCCUCCAAUUUAUAAAAUAUUUGGUCAGGAUUUACAAUACUCCUGACAAAGGAGGAGCUUCAGAGAAGCCUUUUGAAAGAGAAUGCCGGGCUGUUAGGGUUCGGGAAAUAAGAAGCCAGAGGUGAGGUUGACAGGUUGUGUAGGGGGAAACAGACAGACCUGACAGUUUAUUUUUAAGCAUUUCUAACUUUGGUGGAUCAAUUUUCUGAAAGGGUUUCCUUCCGAUUGUUCUUUUGAAAGUAAGAACUGCCAGGGCUACAACAGAAAGUUGACAUCUAUUCAGUUCGGCACUUAGAAAAAGCUAAGAGGGAAAAGAAAGACUUUCAAUUCCUGUUCCUUCUGUUUAUUGUGGUGUUCAAAGCAGUGAAUAGUAGAGUUGGUGCAGGAAGCCAUUUCCAUUAUGUCUCCUGCAGAGUUUCACUGCGUCUCAAUGAGUGGGGAGAGUCGGGAAGUAAAACUUUUUCCAACUGGGAGAGUUGGAAAGUGCAUUCUCACAGCACCCUCAGCUGGGAUAUCUGAUCUGGGCUUAAACCUAUGUGAUGAGAAAAAUAAAAUUAUGCUUUUUAGGUGGCUGCUAUAACAUAAUGCUAUCAGUGCUUAUUAUAUUAUUUUUCAAAAUCAAUUAUGCAUUUUCUUGUUAUCGCUUACCUUUCAGGAAUACAAUAUGGAAGGUAUUACCAGCUACUAGCCUGAAUUAGUGUACUUUACCAUGAAAUGCUCUGAGUAUUUGACUUGGCCAUUAUAAUUAGUCUUUAUCAUCAUAUAUAUUAUAUAACAGAUUUUAAAAAAAUAUAUGGGUCAAUUUUCUCCACUAAAUGAUAAGUGAAUGAACGGACACCUGAUAUUCUGUGUAGAGUGACCAGUGAGCUGCUUUGCAAGUAGUUCUAUAUUUAAUAAAUACUUAAUGAGUUGGACCUUUGCAAUCUUCCUCAUCACUUUUUGUACAGCUUUUGUAAUUCAAAUUGAGCACGCAAGGACAAUAUGAUGCUAAAAUAAGCAGGAGAAUUUUUUCAACUGACAAAGGGAUGGAGUUUGAAAUUUAACCAACAUUUAUUAAACAGAGGCUAAGCUAGGCUCUGGGGUUAUGGAGGUAAAUGAAACAAUCCAUGCCCUUUAGGAUUGUAACAGAUAAAAAGGACACAAAAGUGAAUAAUGCAAUAAGCAUAUGGCUAGAGAUCAAUAUAGAGCAGUAAACAUCAGUGAUAACUUUCCAGGUCCAAGCAACGCUAGCCAAAUUUGCCAUUAAGGUGGUGAAAUAAUCUGCUUUGGUCUGAAAGUCUAUUGAGAAGACCGCAGUGCGUAAAGGCAUUUGUAGGUCCUGAUACGUGACUCACUGAUGAAAGCUCUGGUUAAUUUGUGUCACAUCAGCAGUAUCAAAUUUCUCAAUAUGACCCUUGGAAAAGAAUAAUUCUAUUACAGUUUGGUUGGCAAAAGCUUAUACACUCCUCUUGGGCAGGGGACUAAAGAGGACACCGAGGAACUAAAGUAUUUGAUCAGUAUAACAAGAGCUACUGCUUAAAGAUGCACUCAGAAUGAUGAGAGCAACAGUUCUCAGAUGUGGUUGCCCACUGGAAUCAUAUGGAGAAUGUGAAAAGCAAUUAUGUCCUGUCUGCAUCUCUUGCUAAGUUAAUCACAGUCUCUGGGUUUUAUAAAGUUUACUAAAGUUCACGGAUGAUUCCCAUGUGGAGCCAUGGCUGAGAACUAGUAGGUUAGAAGCAUGCUUCUCAAGCUGUCAUAGGCUACCCAUCACCUGGGGGUCUUGGUGAAAUGCAGAUUCUGAUUCAGUGAGUCUGGGUUAGGGCUUGAGAUUCUGCAUUCCUAACAGGCUCCCAGGCAAUGUCUGUGUAGCUAUUGAGAAGUAAGAGGGUGUGGUUAUUCAGAAUUUAGGAAAGGUUCAAUUUGCUAGCUUUCCAAUCUCUGCCCAAACACUCAGGGUAAGGUAGUUGUAUUGGUCCUGAAACUUUGCUACAAUUUCUUUCUUUCUUGUCUUUCUUUCUUUUUUCUUUUCUUUCUCAAAGACCUGAUAAACAUAACAUAGGAUUUUGGGGAUUUGCCAUUAGGAGCUAAGAGUCUGGCUAUGGCUCAUUAAAAAUAUUCAACUCUGAGAUACAAUUUUUGAGGGAACUGGGGGGAAUUUGGAGGCCAAACUCCUAUCAUAUAGAAGUGAAUAAUUUAAGUUAUUGUGAGUUUUGGCGCUUACUCAAUCUUUAUGAAAAUGCCUAAGUUAGCUGUGUUGUGGAACUUUGCCUGAUUCUCAUAUAGUUAAACUCUCUCCUACAACCCUGGUAUAUAAUUUAAGAGAAUUGUAAGAGGGCAACAAUUGGGGUCUCUGGUAUCAGACUGCUGAAGUUCAACUCCUGAUUCAAUAGCAUUCUGAACAAGAACACCCAGCCUUUCUCAUUUUCUUGACAAUGGGGAUAAAAAUAAGACCUCUCACAAGUGGUUGCUAUGAGGAUCGAAUGAGGUGGCAUUUACAGGCACUGAGAAUAGCACCUGGCUAUCACCAACUCUGGAUAUAAUCUAUUACUGUCUCUCUUUCAUCAGCGAGACAGAACCUGAAAGGAAACAACCCAGGCUUUCACAAAACAGGCAGCCUUUUCGAGAAUAAAAGAUAUGGCCAUUCUUUGUUAGCAAAGUCCAUUAAUUUCCUCACUUCCAUUUAUUCCCCCAUGGCCAAUAUUUGCAGCUUAUAACUUGAGAGGGUCCAUCCAAUUAUUAAACACAUUCUUUAUUAAGCACCUACUACAAACCCAUCACUCUCUUAGAUGCUGGUGUCAAAGCAGUGAAGGAAACAGACUGAAAUUUCUUCUACUGUGAAGCAGAAAGUUGUUUUGUUUUUUCCCACAUUUAAAAAAAUCUGAUAAAUUUAUAUUUUAACCAUCUCAAUUCUUAAAACUAUAUUUUAAAAUAUAUUUAAAAUAUUUAAUAAUUUCAUUUCUUUUUUUUUUUUUAACCAGAGUUUCCCAGUAGGUGUGUAGGUAGAGAUAGCCUAUUUUCAAUGCUGGUACAAACUGUGAGCAGGACACUACUAGAAAAUAGGGAUUCAGUAUGAGAGUCUCUAGUUCCAUCCAUGUUGCUGCAAAUGGCAUUAUUUCAUUCUCUUUUAUGGCUGAGUAGUAUUCCAUUAUGUAUAUAUACCACAUCUUCCUAAUCCAAUUGUCUGUCAAUGGACAUUUGGGUUGUUUCCAUGUUUUGGCUAUUGUGAAUAGUGUUGCAAUGAACAUGUGGGUGCAUGUGUCCUUUUUAAGGAAGUUUUAUCUAGAUAUAUGCCCAAGAGUGGGAUUGCUGGGUCAUAUAGUAGUUCUAUGUAUAGAUUUCUAAGGUAUCUCCAUAUUGUACUCCAUAGUGGCUGUACCAGCUUACAUUCCCACCAACAGGGCAGGAGGGUUCCCUUUUCUCCACACCCCCUCCAGCAUUGUUAUAUUGGACUUAUGAAUGAUGGCCAUUCUUCAGAAUAGACUUGUGGUUGCCAAGGGUUGGGGAGCUUGGGGUUAAAAGACACAAACUAUUGCCUUUGGAAUGGAUUAGCAAUGAGAUCCUGCUGUGUAGCACUGGAAACUAUGUCUAGUCACUUACGAUGGAGCAUGAUAAUGUGCAAAAACAGAAUGUGUACAUGUAUGUGUAACUGGGUCACUAUGUUGUACAGUAGAAAACAAAAAAUUGUACUGGGGAAACAACAUUAAAAAA
RNAcentral lists this long non-coding RNA (6046 nucleotides) under Sus scrofa (pig). RNAcentral's name for it is "lncRNA (ENSSSCG00000055962.1)". The record is from RNAcentral. Lineage: Eukaryota; Metazoa; Chordata; Mammalia; Artiodactyla; Suidae.